UGGCAGCCUGCAACCACAGAGCUGGAGUGAGCAGGAGGCUUGGUUGAUCCAGUGAUGGAGGAAGCCAAGCUUCCACAUGCCGCGGCCGGCUCUGAUCUCCACUGAAGACAACAAAGUUUCAAUUAUAGCAGCGAGAGGAAGGGAGAGGGAUAGAGA
Molecule: long non-coding RNA, 156 nt
Organism: Myotis brandtii (Brandt's bat)
Lineage: Eukaryota; Metazoa; Chordata; Mammalia; Chiroptera; Vespertilionidae
Exons: 3
Source: RefSeq, a predicted model, not a curated record